Long non-coding RNA from Bos taurus (domestic cattle), 1132 nucleotides. Lineage: Eukaryota; Metazoa; Chordata; Mammalia; Artiodactyla; Bovidae. The record is from Ensembl.
CCUUACAGCAGAUUAUUUUUGUAUAAAAUGUGGGGAAGCUAAGGGGGGAAAGGAACAGCAAGGCUUAGGGUCCCAGGGUGGACCAAUUCCGCCACCCUUGCUUUCUCUUCUCUUCAGCUCACACCUGUGAAGCCCGUGCGCCCGUCUCAAAUGAGCUUCAAAGAUUAAAAUCCUCCCGGUCCCUUCCAGAAAUAUCCCUGCUGGAUCGCUGCCAUGUAGGUAGGGAAUAGGGUGGGAUUCUUGGGAGAGCAGUCAGCGGCAGCACAGAGCAGAGGAUCCCCAGCGGGGAUUCAACUGGACCGCGGAGAUACCUUGGGCAGCCCUGAAAUUAUGCGAUUUGAGGACACGCUGUCAACUCUUAUCCCGAGAUCACGCCGUAGAGCCAGACUGCUUCUCCAGUUCUGAACUGGCCCGGACCCGGGCGGUGGUGGCCAGGUGUUGGGAGCUGGGCAAGGCAAGCCAGACCGCCCGAAGGACCUUCGAUCAGGCAUCCCCUCCAGCUCGGCGCAACCCCGCAGGCAACAGACGUGCCAGGUGAAGGAAGAGAAGAGCAGAGGCAACAGUAAUUCAGUUUCACUGCACUGUUUCCCCAGAUCCGACAGGCACAAGUGAUUGGUCUCCCUGCCUCUCUCUUUCGGGGCUGCUAAGCUAGCUGCGUUCUGCCGGAAAAACACAUCGCCCAGACCGAGCGCAGCGUUUGGAGACCUCGGAAUUACCCCCCGACCUGGGCCCGAUAGCACAGGCAGCAGGGCGAGGGACACGGGAGCGCGGCAUCGCCGAGUGGCUCUAUGAAGCGCGGGACCCUGGGCGCUCGCGGUUGAGCCCGGGUCCCAAGGACAGGGCAGAGGUGGGAGGACCCGGGCUUACGGGAGCACAGCCGCUCCUGCAAGCACCCCCCGCAAACCCAGUCCUCGCUGCCGCUUAGCCCCAUCAAGGUGCGCCUCCUCGGUGCGGAGUCCCACCUACCUCCCGCCACCCCGCUGACCUCAUAAACAACUUCGCUAACCGCAGAGGGCGGAGGCGGGGCGGGCGGGCCGCUGCUGAGCCGACCGCGGGGGCAGCGGGGCGGGCCGGGGUCAGGGCACAGGCUGCGGCCGCGCCUCCCGAUUGGCCGGGACGCCGUGGGCUGCCC